GAUGAACGCUGGCGGCGUGCCUAAUACAUGCAAGUCGAGCGAACAGAUGAGGAGCUUGCUCCUCUGACGUUAGCGGCGGACGGGUGAGUAACACGUGGAUAACCUACCUAUAAGACUGGGAUAACUUCGGGAAACCGGAGCUAAUACCGGAUAAUAUAUUGAACCGCAUGGUUCAAUAGUGAAAGACGGUUUUGCUGUCACUUAUAGAUGGAUCCGCGCCGCAUUAGCUAGUUGGUAAGGUAACGGCUUACCAAGGCAACGAUGCGUAGCCGACCUGAGAGGGGAAUCGGCCACACGGGAACUGAGACACGGUCCAGACUCCUAGGGAGGCAGCAGUAGGGAAUCUUCCGCAAUGGGCGAAAGCCUGACGGAGCAACGCCGCGUGAGUGAUGAAGGUCUUCGGAUCGUAAAACUCUGUUAUUAGGGAAGAACAAAUGUGUAAGUAACUAUGCACGUCUUGACGGUACCUAAUCAGAAAGCCACGGCUAACUACGUG
This 496-nucleotide ribosomal RNA is filed under the name uncultured bacterium. RNAcentral's name for it is "partial 16S ribosomal RNA". It matches the Rfam family "Bacterial small subunit ribosomal RNA", at positions 28 to 507 of the family's 1533-position model. The record is from RNAcentral.